Long non-coding RNA from Catharus ustulatus (Swainson's thrush), 7470 nucleotides. RefSeq lists it as uncharacterized. NCBI's taxonomy places the organism in Eukaryota, Metazoa, Chordata, Aves, Passeriformes, Turdidae. The record is from RefSeq and is a predicted model, not a curated record. The transcript has 2 exons.
UGAAGGGCCCGUACGGGCGGGCGCGGAGCCUUGGCCCGGCCUCUCCGUCGCUUGUGCCGCGGGCCUGGUUUAUUGUCCUUAUUCCCCUCAUCGAUGCCUUUUCCCCCCGUUCUCCCCCGCUCUCCUCCAGGCUCACUGGAAGGCCCGGAAGUGCCGCCCCCGGGAGCCGCCAGCGCCAGUUUCUAUGAGCGUGGCAGAACACUGAAAGAGGCUGCCCGGGGAGGGCGUGGAGACAUUCCAAACCCACCUGGACGUGUUCCUGUGUCACCUGCUCUGGGUGAGCCUGCCUUGGCAGGGGGUUGGACUGGAUCUUUCCAGAGGUCCCUUCCAACGUUAACAGUUCUGUGAUUUAUUUCAGGAGUGAAAACUCAGCAUGAUGGUCAAGGUCGGGAUAAUCCUGGUUUAGUGAUGUGUCCCCACUCGUUGGUGCUCCUCUCAAUCUGUACUGCUUUGCACAGGGAGUUUUCUGACUGAAGUGCUUAACUGGCAGGGAAAAAUUCAAAAUGUAAACAGGAACGAUGCUCAGUAGCAGCAGUGGGGAAAUGGAAUCAGUCACAGAAAAUCAGUUUGUCCCUUUAAAUGCAAUAAUUCAAAUAAUAUUUAAGAAAUGGGACAUCUUCAAACAUCCCCAGCUGCUAGGGGCCUCACCAAACAGUUAUUUGCUGCUGUGGCUUCUGUUGUCAAAUAUGACCAGUUCUGUUCACAUCAUCACUCAGGUGUUCAAUAGUCUGAACUCCCAAGAAGUUCUUUGCAGUGGUGGUUCAAACUUGCUGCAGUCAACAUGCAAUAAUGGGCUAAUGAGGGUUUUUUUUGCCCUAUGAUAGUUAGAUUCAUGAAGAGGGACUUAGUGAAUAGCUGUAUUGUGAUAUUUUUAAUAGAAAAUUGCUGACCGUGAUUUUUUUUUAACUGAGUUUUUUUCUAAGUUGUACUCUGUGUAUCUUAUGUGCAACCUCAAUUCACACAGGUCAUGCUAGGAAAUGAUUUUGCAUACUAAUACAGGAGAUUUAGUAUUUCCGUAGUCGAAAGGAAGUUUAGAUAAAACAUGAGUUCACUUGCUUUGUUUUCCUACUGCAAUGAGCUGUAUCCUCACUUCACUUUCCUUUUGAUAAAUGUCUUCUCUAUUUUCCUCUCUUUUUGUAGUGGAAAACAUCAGUUCAUUUGCAAAUAUUUGAAAGGCUCCCAGGACUUAGGGCAGUUUGAUUAUAGUGCCAAUUAACAACAUAACAGCAAUCUUGAAUUAUUGUUGUGCAGUAACUUUGUUGCUGAAUUUGUGUAAUUGUUAUCAUGUGUAAACUUUUUGCAGAAAAAGCCUACUUGCUCUUAGCAUGUCCUAAAAUAUACAAAUCUAGUGAAUAAAUAUGCAGUUGUGUAUCUCAUAUACAUAUAUAUAUUCAUAUAUACACACAUUUAUGUUUGAAGCAGGACCAGAUAACCAAACUGAUGCUUUCUUUUGAGACGGGCACUGAGGCCUUUGAAAUGUUUGAAGUUGAGGUGUAUAUUUAUUUAUUUAUUUAUAAGUAUCUGCCUUUAUUCUGUGUACUGAGAGGAGUACUCAAAGAAGAGUAGAAAAUGUGACCAUUUUGGUGAAGUUCUCAGGCCUCCCUGAGGUUUCCAGCAGCAAUGUGCAGUGCUGUGGCACAUGCACCACCUGGAUGCGGAAAGUUUAGUACUAUUGCUGUGAAAUCCAGUGUGUGUAGGGAGAGAUGCCAGGAUUUGUGUUCCUUUGGCUCUCUGUUCAUAGCAGAAACCAUUAAUUGUGCUCAGACUUUACUUUUCCUCGGGACAUGGGCUUCACUUUGUGCUUGAGUGGGCAGUGGUGACUUCCCCUUUCUCUCAGGCCACAGUUAAUAUGGUUAGAAAAAUAAAUUGAAACCAAACACACUAAUUGAAAAUGUAGCACAACUUUAAUAUAUUGUAAUAAUUACUUAAAGCCAGAAUAGUCUGUAUUAAUUAAAUGCAAAUGGGGUAGAGAUUUUGGAAAAAACCCCUGCAUUUCCAGUUGAGGCAGUAGAUAAAGACAUCAUUGGUAGCAAUCAGUGCUGUUAAUGUUGUGUAAAAAAUGCAAAAAAAAUACCAUUAUGGACACAUAUCCCUGUCUGUGUGUGUGUGGACUGUGGUGCUGCCCAAGAGCACAUCUGUGCAUUUAUAUGUGCUGGGGCUGCUUUUUCUCCUUGGUACAAUUUCCCAGUUCAGAGCAGCUUUCUGGUGUGACUUACUGUAGCUGCAGUGUAUUGCUGCUCACUGGGCUGGCAGGUCCCAAAAGAGGUAUUAAGUGUUUCAGUUUUGGGUCUGAGCAGGAGAAAAAGGUGCCUGGGCUUGAGCUGGGAGGUGUUACUUUCAGAUUAGCACAUGUUUAGAUAAGACAAAGGAAGGUACAAUCCAAAACUGAAUAUGGAAGAGGAAACAUUUUUAGUUUCUGCUGAAACUUUUGUGUCUGUUAGCAUCUGAUUUUCCUGAGCCUGUUUUGGGAAGAAGGGCUGAGAUGUGUCUGUGGCAUGUGAUGACAGGCAGUGCAGGGGUAUGGGAGUGGAGUGAGGGGAAGCAGUAUCAGGAAUGAUUAAGUUUAUAUUAAUUGUGCCACUCCCAUUCUUCCUGUUGCACACUCCAGUCACACAAGAACCUCUGGAAUGAGCAUAUUGGAGGCAGGAACCUACAUCACUCAGUUGGGAUGCUUGGCACGGCUGGAGAGGUUGCAGAAGUUCACUCAGCAGAAGCUCCUGGGAUUCAGGAAGUGUGGCUUCAGUGCAGGGAGUGCUGCUGGAAGCCUGGGGUAAAACUGUGAGGAAUUGGUGCUGGAGCUGUUCUGUAAAUCCCAGAGCACCAUCAUGUGGUGGGAGCUGUGCAGGCCGGAGCUGCAGCCUCAGGAUCAGGCUUGGGAGCUGGGGGUGCUGAGAUUGUCCAGCUCCACAGUUGCAGUCAGUUGCAGUUGCACUGCUCUGGGCUUUUAAACACGUGCUGGCAGGAAAAGCAGUCCUUGGGAACCUGGCUUUUUUUAACAGGGAAAGUAGAUGACCCAGGGAUUGUUUCAAGCUUGUCUCUCACAGUGUGUUAUACUGAAAGAGUGAAUGUGCAGGUGCAUGACCCUGAGCUCCUGUGCUGCACUGGCUAUGACAUCAGCAGCACGAUGACUUCUGCAGCUCUGGAUUCACUGGGGGUGAGAACACACCAGCUCAGCAGAGGCUGUGCCAGCAGGAUAAUUUGUCAGGCUUCCCUGCUGUGAGUGCCAGAACCUGCUGAUGCAUGGUGUGAGAGAAGCAGCACACAGCAGGCCCCCAAGGGCACCUGCAAGAUCUCACCUGUCCAAGAACAUGGCAGUGUAGGUCAUGCAGCUUGGAAAGACUGCUAGAAAUAAUCCACGAGUUGAAACUGCCCCAAAAUGCAGGAUUAGUGUAAAGCAGAAUACUAAAAAUGCAAGUUGUUUUAUACAUGUCAGGUUGGUUAGGCUUGCAACUAAGCUUUGUCUAAAGGUGGAGAAAUGAAACAUCAAUUUCUAGGCUUAUUAUAAUCCUUGUGUGUUUCAGGCUUAAUUUUAAGAAGAACUGCAGAAGCAUUGCCUUAUAUUUUGUAAAAUUUAAACAGGUGUAUAAAACCUAUCCAGGUUUUAAAAGUGCUUGGAACAUUUUUAGUACAUCACAGAACCAUCAGCUUCUGACACUGAACAUGGGACUUCAUUAACUUCCUGUCCAACUGAAGGUGCAGAGUUGGUGCUGUGUAGGUCAGCUGCCUGACCAGGCUGCUUCUCCCCUUAAGGAAUGGGAAUUCACAGGGAUUCUGCUUAGCUGCUGAAGGCUGGGAUGCAGGAGCAGGGAACUGAAAGCAGUAUCAGUUUCCCUGCUGAAUGUCAGCUCUGCCAGAGCUGAUUGAAAAAGGAUGUGAUGGGGACCAGUGCUCUGUCAAGGUUUGACUCUGGCCCAGAGCUGUUGUUCUGAUUUAUUUCUGCUUUGGGCAUUGGGACCAAAUACUCAGGUCCACACUGAAGUUUAUUUUCUGGUCCAUGUGUAAGUUAGCAAAAGCAAACAGUGGGAUUUAUACAAGUUACAAGUGAGAUUUUAAGGUUGAAUCACCCAAAUUGGUCUUCACUGUUUGCAUAAAGGAUUCUGUAGUAAGGCACUGAGGGGGCUGGAAAGUAAUUUGAUUUUGUGUCUGUCCAAGGAAUAACGUCAUCCCUUUGUGUGAGUGCACGGGAUCAUGCGCUGUGUGCUUGGCAAGGACACCGGCGGGCAUGAGGGUGCUCUUGUUCUGUGCAGGCUUUGUUUGGAGAGUGGGCUGAAAACAGCAGGCUACAACUGGGAUCAAGUACUAGUAAAAUGUUCUUAAUGUUUUUAAAAACUGCUUUUCUCUAAACAUUUUCAGCUAUUGUAUAAACUACCAGGACAAACAAUCAUUUUCCUUUCCAGCCCUGUUCUCGAGCUGUCUUUGCUACGAAUGGAAUUCUGAGUCACACAUCUGUCUGGCAAGUGUUUUCAUUUCAGUAUUCAAAGAUGAUGUUGAGCUGUGUUAAUGUGGAGAUUGGCUUUAAAGUUACAUCAGGGGCAGUUAGAGAAACUCAAGACUUCUUUCUGAUGGGAAAACUUUUUUCAGUGGCCUUUUAGUAAGGCAGUUUAAUAGCUAAAUGUCAGGGUAGAAGCCGCAAUCUUACUGAGUUUUGUUUCUAAUAAAAGAAUUGCUGUGCACAAGGCUUAAUGUAAUUUAAGACUAGCAGAAAAAGCUCUAAUCAAUACUUUGGACAGUGCAUGGUUUCUGUUUUUUUAACUAUUGUCACAAUAGGUGGAAAGGUCACUCUAUGUAAUAGUACUUACUUAAUCAGAAUGACAAAUAUUAGGACCUCAUCCUCAUCUGUAUAAAUCAGUCACAUAGCUGUGGUCCUAGAUUGCAUUAGUUUUAAAUUCCAAGGAUGAAGAAAUAUAUAUCUGCCUACAGUGUCACUGACAGCCUUUUCUUCUGAUUUCAGGUGAGAAGUGACACCUGUGGAACAUGACUGGUAAUUCAACAGAAGUUUAAUGACUGUAGUUGCUAUGACUGUUAUGACAUGCUCACUUAAGACCCAAGAAAUUGGUAAAGUUAUGAAAUUAAGAAACCCUAUUUUUAAAAUAACUUCCUUCUGUAACUAGGGGGAGCAAGGGGAAGGCUCUUUCUAUGAUGAGUAUUAUAAAUGCUGUCUGCAGCUAGCCUGACUUGUCUUGACUGAAGCAGCAAUCCUGUCCCAGCUCUGAAGAUGCCUGCACUGUGGGAUGAGGUAGUAGGUUGUAUAGUUUUAGGGUCAUACCCACCACUGGGAGAUAACUAUACAAUCUACUGUCUUUCCUAAAGUAGCAGAUAAUCAACAAUGGAAGCUUCUCAGUUUUAAGCUCAAUGUCAGAUUUUGCUGAACUUCUGUACUUGUAGCGCUUAUGACAGGACAAAAUACUUGUGUAAUAGCCGUGGGAAUUGUGUUUAGAUUUUUCUGGUUCUUGGAAAAGCUAAGUUUCAUUCUGCAUUAAUUUUUCUGCUCUAAUGAAUAAAAAAUUAAGAAUAGAUUAUUCCUGUAUGUGUAUGGUGGGGUAAUCAAAUACAAAUUCCCAGUGUUCCAGUUGUUGGGGUGUUGUAUAAAGCAUCCUUCAGAAUGAAACUGAGGUUGGCUGAGCUCUUGCUGACGUCUGUGCUUCUCUGUCAGAGUGAGGUAGUAGAUUGUAUAGUUGUAGGGUAGUUAUUUUACCCUGUUCAGGAGAUAACUAUACAAUCUAUUGCCUUCCCUGAGGAGUAAAACAAACUGCGUUCCCUUGCAGCCAGUCCUGGGCUAAAAAUCCUCAUUGAAUGAAACCAGAUUAAUUCAGGGUUGUAAGGCAGCAGUGCCAGAAUGUACAGGACUGACAGUGUGCAUGGUGCAAACCCCACAGGAUAUCUUUGACUUAACAUGACUUUUCUCCCAAGGUGAGUGGCACAGUGCUGGCUGGGAAUGGAAAAUGCCCACGCUUUAGGCAAAGGGUGGAAGGUUCCACAGAGGGAAGCUGUUCCAAGCCAGUUAGGAGAACAUAAAAUACAGGGAGCUCAAGUACAUUGCCACUUAAACUCUUCUGACAAUCCAAUUUCCUUAAUACAUUAAAACUCCAUGACUCUUAACUGCUUGGUAGAAGUUGGAGGGAAAACUUAAAAUGAUCCUUUAUUAAUAAGUCUGCGUGUUUUUCUGCAGCUUUUCCAGAUCUAAUGCAAAAUUUAAGUGUUGGCUGAUUUUGGCCAAAACUCGCCUCUCACCUUUUUAGGGGGAUGUGGAGCUAUGGAGUUUGAGCAUGCAAGAACCAGAACUUUGUUCUGAGAUGGUGUUUGUUCUAUAAAGACUUUUAAAGUUUAUUGCAUUCACUUUCCUCCUGCUGUGCUUGGUGUACCAGUCUGUAACUGGUUCUGUGCUAGCAUGCCCAGCAAACAGCUUGCUGUAGUAACAAAAAACCCACGGAAACAAAUGCUUUUUGGGAUGGUAAGUUUAGCAUGGCAAGAAUAAUAAUGGAGCCAUUGGUGAGUGUUCCAGGCAGUGAGGCACUGUUGGUUAUUGCUGACAGUGUCACCUUGGAGUGUGUGCCCAGCCAGGGCAGAAGAGAGAGCAGCUGGGGAGCUAAAGUCCUGCAGAGAGUGAAGAACUGCACAGAGGAAGCAUGGGGCUCCUAGGAAGAGGUAGUAGGUUGCAUAGUUUUAGGGCAGGGAUUUUGCUCACAAGGAGAUAACUAUACAACCUGCUGCCUUUCUUAGGGCUUUAUUAUAACACCAUGACCAUUUGGGCUCCAGCCUGCAAACCUCUGCAGCUUUGGGAUGUGGAGAGAAAGGACAAGGUAUUUAUAAGUGUGCUGACGCUUAAUGAAAGCCAUGUCUUGGCAGAUUUGGUCCCAAAUGGAAGUGUUGGAAUGCAGCAUGGUGACAUUGGGGCUGCAUGUGCCACUUUGGGGACACUGGGCUGUGGUAAGUAAGAAGCUGGGCUGGGAAGGCAGCUCCCUCCAGAGUAAGCUGGAGGCCCCUAAGGUUAGGGGUGGAGGUGGUGUGAACUUUUGAACAUCACAGUACUGGUACUGUGUGCUCACAGGGACCUGAAAUACACCUUCCUUUGGCUUGGUGCUUUCUCACCAGGCAUGGGCAUUCCAAAGGAAGUAAGCUCUCAGUGGUGCAUUAUUUACAAUCCUGCAGGAGGGAAGUUUCCAGUUUAAAAGAGUGGUGUGGUUUCUCAUGGAGUUGUUAAAAAUGAGUCAUGUUUUGAUGUAAUUGCACUGCACCACAGCAAUAGUUCUGGUAGGGCUCUGACUGGACACUCUUUCUGUGGGAUACAGACAUCUCAAUUCUGAGCACUUUGCAGCAUUAAUUUGCUGUGCUCACACCAGACACUAUUUAAACUGCAAAUCAGACACAGUCCCAACUUACAAGCAUGUUAAGUAUUGCUUAUAUUGAACAUUUUGUGUGAAUUAACUGUACCUUUUUGAUUUAGUUAAUAAAAUACAGCAUUUUGUGCAA